Molecule: ribosomal RNA, 740 nt
Filed under: uncultured bacterium
Lineage: Bacteria
Description: bacterial SSU rRNA
Rfam family: Bacterial small subunit ribosomal RNA
Source: RNAcentral
GUAGUCCUGGCUGUAAACGAUGUCGACUUGGAGGUUGUGCCCUUGAGGCGUGGCUUCCGGAGCUAACGCGUUAAGUCGACCGCCUGGGGAGUACGGCCGCAAGGUUAAAACUCAAAUGAAUUGACGGGGGCCCGCACAAGCGGUGGAGCAUGUGGUUUAAUUCGAUGCAACGCGAAGAACCUUACCUGGUCUUGACAUCCACGGAAGUUUUCAGAGAUGAGAAUGUGCCUUCGGGAACCGUGAGACAGGUGCUGCAUGGCUGUCGUCAGCUCGUGUUGUGAAAUGUUGAGUUAAGUCCCGCAACGAGCGCAACCCUUAUCCUUUGUUGCCAGCGGUCCGGCCGGGAACUCAAAGGAGACUGCCAGUGAUAAACUGGAGGAAGGUGGGGAUGACGUCAAGUCAUCAUGGCCCUUACGACCAGGGCUACACACGUGCUACAAUGGCGCAUACAAAGAGAAGCGACCUCGCGAGAGCAAGCGGACCUCAUAAAGUGCGUCGUAGUCCGGAUUGGAGUCUGCAACUCGACUCCAUGAAGUCGGAAUCGCUAGUAAUCGUGGAUCAGAAUGCCACGGUGAAUACGUUCCCGGGCCUUGUACACACCGCCCGUCACACCAUGGGAGUGGGUUGCAAAAGAAGUAGGUAGCUUAACCUUCGGGAGGGCGCUUACCACUUUGUGAUUCAUGACUGGGGUGAAGUCGUAACAAGGUAACCGUAGGGGAACCUGCGGCUGGAUCACCUCC